This 490-nucleotide ribosomal RNA is filed under the name Bifidobacterium pseudocatenulatum. RNAcentral describes it as "bacterial SSU rRNA". It matches the Rfam family "Bacterial small subunit ribosomal RNA", at positions 158 to 660 of the family's 1533-position model. The record is from RNAcentral. Lineage: Bacteria; Bacillati; Actinomycetota; Actinomycetes; Bifidobacteriales; Bifidobacteriaceae.
GGGUGGUAAUGCCGGAUGCUCCGACUCCUCGCAUGGGGUGUCGGGAAAGAUUUCAUCGGUAUGGGAUGGGGUCGCGUCCUAUCAGGUAGUCGGCGGGGUAACGGCCCACCGAGCCUACGACGGGUAGCCGGCCUGAGAGGGCGACCGGCCACAUUGGGACUGAGAUACGGCCCAGACUCCUACGGGAGGCAGCAGUGGGGAAUAUUGCACAAUGGGCGCAAGCCUGAUGCAGCGACGCCGCGUGCGGGAUGACGGCCUUCGGGUUGUAAACCGCUUUUGAUCGGGAGCAAGCCUUCGGGUGAGUGUACCUUUCGAAUAAGCACCGGCUAACUACGUGCCAGCAGCCGCGGUAAUACGUAGGGUGCAAGCGUUAUCCGGAAUUAUUGGGCGUAAAGGGCUCGUAGGCGGUUCGUCGCGUCCGGUGUGAAAGUCCAUCGCUUAACGGUGGAUCUGCGCCGGGUACGGGCGGGCUGGAGUGCGGUAGGGGAGA